UCUUAUUUUUUAAUGUGUAUUGGUACUCCCCAGGGCUCUCUUCUCUUUUUCAUCUUCUGGAGAUUCUCAAGAGGCCUUCAGUGGUUUCAUCUUUCAACAAUGAGCAUUUGGCAGGAUGGUAGUAAAAGCCAUGUGGCUGAAACUGAUUCCAGGCCUCAAGGUUCAUCCUUAAUCAACAACAUUACCCGUCCAGUUGCUGUCUGAAUUGUUAGAGAACAAAAGGGAAACCAGAAAUUCCAAGAGACAAUUCAAUAGAAUGAAUAAAAUCCAACAGAGCCAAAGAGGGAGCAGAGGAGAACAACAACAACAAUUGAUAUAUCAAGGUAAGGACUGAGGUUGGAUUCUUUUACUAUUAGAAUAUACAUUAAAUACA
RNAcentral lists this long non-coding RNA (373 nucleotides) under Ictidomys tridecemlineatus (thirteen-lined ground squirrel). RNAcentral's name for it is "lncRNA (ENSSTOG00000032685.1)". Lineage: Eukaryota; Metazoa; Chordata; Mammalia; Rodentia; Sciuridae. The record is from RNAcentral.